ACCAAAACAUGCUAACAAGUGCACUGGGAGACACUUCAAAGAAGUGGAGCGGCCAAAGAGUAAACUUUCAAAACUGAACAGGCUCUUGAGAUCCUGCGUGUGCUGCCAUCACUGUUCCCAUCCACCUCUGCUCCUCCAAAGAGGGCACGGGAUGCGAGUGAGGCUCUGGUGCAUGUCCUUGAGGACCAAGAAGACCCUAAUACCUAUUUGAUGAAACGUCCUCUCUCCUGCCCAGUCCUGAUCGUGAGUCCGUCCAACUGCAUCCUAGCGGUAGGAGAUGUGCCAAUAACCACGUUUCCAAAAGACGAGGUUACGGAGGG
Oreochromis aureus is the source of this 320-nucleotide long non-coding RNA. Lineage: Eukaryota; Metazoa; Chordata; Actinopteri; Cichliformes; Cichlidae. The record is from Ensembl.